RNAcentral lists this ribosomal RNA (253 nucleotides) under uncultured bacterium. Its description in RNAcentral is "partial 16S ribosomal RNA". It matches the Rfam family "Bacterial small subunit ribosomal RNA", at positions 524 to 776 of the family's 1533-position model. The record is from RNAcentral.
UACAGAGGAGCCAAGCGUUGUCCGGAUUGACUGGGCGUAAAGCGCACGCAGGCGGAUGCGCGCGUGGGGUGUGAAAUCUGGCCGCUUAACGGCCAGGCGCCAUCCCAUACGGCGCGUCUGGAGUGAUGCAGAGGUCGGUGGAAUUGCCGGUGUAGCGGUGAAAUGCGUAGAGAUCGGGAAGAAGGCCGGUGGCGAAGGCGGCGCUCUGGAACAUUUCUGACGCUGAGGCUCGAAAGCGUGGGGAGCAAACAGG